Salvia splendens (bonfire salvia) is the source of this 263-nucleotide long non-coding RNA. RefSeq lists it as uncharacterized. NCBI's taxonomy places the organism in Eukaryota, Viridiplantae, Streptophyta, Magnoliopsida, Lamiales, Lamiaceae. The record is from RefSeq and is a predicted model, not a curated record. The transcript is spliced from 4 exons.
AUUGAUUUCCUUGCUAAUCUAUGAGAUUGUGAUUUGCAUAUUAUAAUGUAUAGGUAUUCUAUUUAACUGGCAUCCAAAAAAAAUUAGAUGCAAUACAGAACAUACAGGUUUUAACUGUUGAUGAGCAGAACUCUUAAGUAUGACAGAUCUUCUUCAUUGAUUAAGAAUCUCAACUUGAAUGACAAAGAAGAAACAUGGAGAUAGAAAAGGGGAUGACCUUUUAGCUUCUUUUAGAGUAGUUGGAAGGUAAACCUUGAUAUGCA